GGGGAUUUAGCUCAGCGGCAUGAGCACCUGCCUUACAAGCAGGCAGUCGUGAGUUCGAUUCCCGGUACCG
Molecule: non-coding RNA, 70 nt
Organism: Cavia porcellus (domestic guinea pig)
Lineage: Eukaryota; Metazoa; Chordata; Mammalia; Rodentia; Caviidae
Source: Rfam